Molecule: transfer RNA, 76 nt
Filed under: Pyrococcus woesei
Lineage: Archaea; Methanobacteriati; Methanobacteriota; Thermococci; Thermococcales; Thermococcaceae
Also listed under: 57 other names
Description: tRNA-Gln
Rfam family: tRNA
About the family: Transfer RNA (tRNA) molecules are approximately 80 nucleotides in length. Their secondary structure includes four short double-helical elements and three loops (D, anti-codon, and T loops).
Source: RNAcentral
AGCCCCGUGGUGUAGCGGCCAAGCAUGCGGGACUUUGGAUCCCGCGACCCGGGUUCGAAUCCCGGCGGGGCUACCA